Molecule: long non-coding RNA, 560 nt
Organism: Hibiscus syriacus
Lineage: Eukaryota; Viridiplantae; Streptophyta; Magnoliopsida; Malvales; Malvaceae
Exons: 4
Source: RefSeq, a predicted model, not a curated record
UCUCAUUUCUCGAAUCUGAAAGUUCCCCCAAUUCUAAAACCCGAUUCUAUUGGGAGAUUUGCAAGUUAGCGGGCACUGGAGGAGCUGAAAACGGAGGCAAGCUAGUGAUCAAACACACGGUGAAAGGAGUGCAGUGGUUUUGGAGUAGGAGGUGCAUUUGGUGGGAAUAGAGGGCUAAGACCAGUCCCACCUGAGAAAGGCAUCUUUCCUUUGGACCAUUUGCAUGAAUGUGACUCGGAGAAGAAAGAGUACCUCAAUUACCUUAAAACUUCUGGCCAUAAAUCCGAAAAAUGUAGACCAUGCUCCAAGAAAUACCCGCAGUGUCGAAUGGAACUAACUUGAUGGCAAAACAGGACUCGGCGUAACUUGGAUUUCCGAAGCCGUCGGAGAUGGAAGCUUCUAUCGGAAAUGAAUUACCACAAAAUUGAUGGAUUUGAUGCUCCUUUUGCCAAUCAUCUCGACUUUUUCCCCUCUUCUGAACGGUAUUCAUAGGAAUAUUCCUUGUUUAAGUGCGCAUAUUCCUCCUCCAAGAAUAUAUUUAUUUCAACGAAGAUUAUAUG